AGGGUUUGAUCAUGGCUCAGGACGAACGCUGGCGGCGUGCUUAACACAUGCAAGUCGAACGAGAAUCUAGCAAGUUGAUCAAUUCGUUGUGAAACAUGCUGGAGGAAAGUGGCGGAUGGGUGAGUAACGCGUGAGCAACCUGCCUCGCACAAGGGAAUAGCCUCGGGAAACCGUGAUUAAUGCCCUAUGAUAUGCAGAAAUCGCAUGAUUUUUGCAUCAAAGCGUUAGCGGUGUGAGAUGGGCUCGCGUCUGAUUAGCUAGUUGGUGAGGUAACGGCCCACCAAGGCGACGAUCAGUAGCCGGCUUGAGAGAGUGAACGGCCACACUGGAACUGAGACACGGUCCAGACUCCUACGGGAGGCAGCAGUGGGGAAUAUUGCACAAUGGAGGGAACUCUGAUGCAGCGACGCCGCGUGAGCGAAGAAGGUCUUCGGAUUGUAAAGCUCUGUCCUAAAGGAAGAUAAUGACAGUACUUUAGGAGGAAGCCCCGGCUAACUACGUGCCAGCAGCAGCCGCGGUAAUUC
RNAcentral lists this ribosomal RNA (524 nucleotides) under uncultured Sporanaerobacter sp. Its description in RNAcentral is "bacterial SSU rRNA". It matches the Rfam family "Bacterial small subunit ribosomal RNA", at positions 8 to 526 of the family's 1533-position model. The record is from RNAcentral. Lineage: Bacteria; Bacillati; Bacillota; Tissierellia; Tissierellales; Sporanaerobacteraceae.